UGAGUUGGGUAGAUGGUCGCGUUCCGAGCAAUUCGGGAUGAGGAAAGUCCGGGCUCCGCAGGGCGAGGCGCUGGGUAACACCCAGGAGCGGUGACGCUAUGGAAAGUGCAACAGAGAGUAGACUACAACGCACUAUGCGUUGUACAGGUGAAACGGUGCGGUAAAAGCGCACCAGUCCCGGUGGCGACAUCGGGAGCUAGGUAAACCCCGCCUGGAGCAAGGCCAAGUAGAAGGACGUAAAUGGGUGCGCCCGCCUAGUCCUCGGGUGAGCCGCAAGAGGUUGAUGGAAACAUCAAUCCCAGAUGAAUGAUCAUCACCCUGAUGCGCGAAAGCAAAUUAGGGGACAGAACCCGGCUUAUUCCCAACUCAAGCG
This 373-nucleotide RNase P RNA is filed under the name Candidatus Poribacteria bacterium. Its description in RNAcentral is "RNase P RNA component class A". It matches the Rfam family "Bacterial RNase P class A". Rfam says of the family: Ribonuclease P (RNase P) is a ubiquitous endoribonuclease, found in archaea, bacteria and eukarya as well as chloroplasts and mitochondria. Its best characterised activity is the generation of mature 5'-ends of tRNAs by cleaving the 5'-leader elements of precursor-tRNAs. Lineage: Bacteria; Candidatus Poribacteria. The record is from RNAcentral.